GGGCUCGUAGCUCAGUCUGGAAGAGCACCGCCCUUGCAAGGCGGGGGCCUCGGGUUCAAAUCCCGACGAGUCCA
Molecule: transfer RNA, 74 nt
Filed under: Candidatus Woesearchaeota archaeon
Lineage: Archaea; Nanobdellati; Candidatus Woesearchaeota
Description: tRNA-Ala
Rfam family: tRNA
About the family: Transfer RNA (tRNA) molecules are approximately 80 nucleotides in length. Their secondary structure includes four short double-helical elements and three loops (D, anti-codon, and T loops).
Source: RNAcentral